AAAGUGGAGGCUAUUGUAACUGAAGAGAACUGGAAAGUUCCACCGUAGAAGGUAAUAGUCCUGUAAGUGAAACGAGAAGACCACGAGUUAUGAUCCAGAGUACCACGAGACACGUGAAACCUUGUGGGAAGCAGGGAGGACCACCUCCCAAGGCUAAAUACUACCUGAUGACCGAUAGUGAAGCAGUACCGUGAGGGAAAGGUGAAAAGAACCCCGGGAGGGGAGUGAAAUAGAACCUGAAACCGUGUGCCUACAACCGCUCAGAGCCCCUUAUGAGGGUGAUGAGGUGCUUUUUGUAGAACGAGCCAACGAGUUACGGUAUGUAGCAAGGUUAAGUACUUAAGGUACGGAGCCGAAGGGAAACCGAGUCUGAAUAGGGCGACUAGUUGCAUGCCGUAGACCCGAAACCGGGUGACCUAUCCAUGGCCAGGUUGAAGCGAGGGUAAAACCUCGUGGAGGACCGAACCACGUUGCUGUUGAAAAAGCAUGGGAUGAGCUGUGGAUAGCGGAGAAAUUCCAAUCGAACCCGGAGAUAGCUGGUUCUCUCCGAAAUAGCUUUAGGGCUAGCGUCGAGUAUGAGUAGUGGAGGUAGAGCACUGAAUGGGCUAGGGGGCAUAGCGCUUACCGAACCUUAUCAAACUCCGAAUGCCACAUACUUUGAGCUCGGCAGUCAGACUACGAAUGAUAAGAUCCGUGGUCAAAAGGGAAACAGCCCAGAUCGUCAGCUAAGGUCCCAAAGUGUAAGUUAAGUGGGAAAGGAUGUGAGAUUUCUAAGACAACUAGGAUGUUGGCUUAGAAGCAGCCAUUCAUUAAAAGAGUGCGUAAUAGCUCACUAGUCGAGAGAUCUUGCGCCGAAAAUGUAACGGGGCUAAACUUACCACCGAAGCUACGGGCUUGAACU
RNAcentral lists this ribosomal RNA (901 nucleotides) under Clostridium perfringens. Its description in RNAcentral is "partial 23S ribosomal RNA". It matches the Rfam family "Bacterial large subunit ribosomal RNA", at positions 313 to 1214 of the family's 2925-position model. RNAcentral also lists the same sequence under 1 other name. Lineage: Bacteria; Bacillati; Bacillota; Clostridia; Eubacteriales; Clostridiaceae. The record is from RNAcentral.